GACGAACGCUGGCGGCGUGCUUAACACAUGCAAGUCGAACGGUCCUGUUUUUGAAGCGCUUCGGCGUGGAGGGGACGGGGCAGUGGCGCACGGGUGAGUAAUGCGCGAGGACCUGCCCGCAGGAGGGGGACAGCAGUUGGAAACGGCUGGUGAUACCCCGUAGGCCGGGAGGUGAAAGGGCGGAGACGCCCGCCUGCGGAUGGACUCGCGUCCUAUCAGCUAGUUGGUGAGGCAACGGCUCACCAAGGCGACGACGGGUAGCCGGCCUGAGAGGGUGUCCGGCCACACUGGAACUGAGACACGGUCCAGACUCCUACGGGAGGCAGCAGUGGGGAAUUUUGGGCAAUGGGGGAGACCCUGACCCAGCGACGCCGCGUGAGGGACGAAGGCCCUUGGGUCGUAAACCUCUUUUGCAGGGGAAGAAGAAGAUGACGGUACCUUGCGAACAAAGUCCCGGCUAACUACGUG
This 468-nucleotide ribosomal RNA is filed under the name uncultured bacterium. Its description in RNAcentral is "bacterial SSU rRNA". It matches the Rfam family "Bacterial small subunit ribosomal RNA", at positions 28 to 507 of the family's 1533-position model. The record is from RNAcentral.